This 1761-nucleotide non-coding RNA is filed under the name Candidatus Hamiltonella defensa 5AT (Acyrthosiphon pisum). Lineage: Bacteria; Pseudomonadati; Pseudomonadota; Gammaproteobacteria; Enterobacterales; Enterobacteriaceae. The record is from RNAcentral.
GUGCGACGUGAAAGUUGCACCACAGAAGUCCCUUGAAAAAGGGUAAGGUUGAUCCGAAACCUUAUUGCCACUUACUCGGUGCAAGAGGAGCAAUUCUCUUGUGCUAAGCGAGAAUGAAAGCCUAACUAAAGUAUUAAGCUGAAUAAGAAAUAGGGGCUAGGCAAAAUUGAAAUGGGCUGAAUAAAGUGAAUCUCCGUGAUUAAAAUGUCGUCAGCAACGAAAACACGAAAUCAGAUGUGACGUGUUAAGGGGAAAUUUAACGACAGUUAGAAACGGGUAAAGAAGAGUGUUCGUUCUUUACGACGGAUCCCGUUCCCCGGCAUAGAGGAGGCAGCCCACUCAAUGUAUCUUCAUGGUGUGAAACACGGUAACCCCAUUAAUCUUUUAGUGUUGAUGUAAAUACUAAGAGACAGUGGGCAUAAGACGUUCCAAAAAGCGAAGGCAAUCAGCCGAAAGGCAACUGGAAAUCAUAACAGGAUUGAUAGAGGUAAUUACUUUACUCUGAAAAGAGGCUGACGUGGAACGGGUGACUUACCCAUAUAAUCCUUUACCAAGGUUAUGAAUUGAUUUAGAAGAGUUAGAUGCCUAUGGCAAACGUAAUAAAUCAAAACUAUGAACAACAACUGGAAUGGCAUGCUAUUAACUGGCGUGUUGUGACAGCCAUGAUUAAUAAUCUAAGGCAAAGAAUAUAUAGGGCUUCAGCAACAGGUGACUUAAAGAAAGUCAGAAAUCUGCAAAAACUCAUGAUGAAAUCAAGAGCUAACCAUCUUCUGGCUAUCAGGAAAGUCACUCAGGUCAAUCGGGGAAAACACACGGCUGGAGUAGAUAAUCAGGUAAUUAAUGACCAUAAAGGACGAGAACAUCUUUAUAAGUUAUUAAGCCAAACAACUUCAGAAAAGGUUUAUCCAGUAAAACGAGUUUACAUAGCAAAAAAGAAUGGAAAAAAACGCCCUCUUGGGAUCCCAACCAUUCUCGACCGCUGUAGACAAGCGAUAGUUAAAUCGGCGCUGGAACCUUAUUGGGAAGCAAAAUUUGAACCAGUCAGCUACGGAUUUAGACCGGGGCGAAGUGCCCAUGACGCAAUACAAAAAAUUUUCUGUAUUGCCAGAGCACGAGGGACACGGCACUGGGUACUAGAUGCAGAUAUUAAAGGCGCAUUUGACAACAUUGACCAUAAUUUUCUCAUAAAAAAAAUCGGGGGAUUCCCCGAAAGAAACAUGAUUAAACAAUGGUUACAAGCCGGUGUGCUGGAACAUGGCAACUAUAUACCCAAUGUUGCAGGUACUCCGCAAGGCGGGAUUAUCAGUCCACUACUGGCCAAUAUUGCACUCCACGGAAUGGAGACCUUACUGGGUAUUCAAUACUGGAAAAACGGCACGCCAAAACAAGGGCAACCUUAUGCAGUAGUUCGUUAUGCGGAUGAUUUUGUCGUAUUCGGUAAAUCCCGUGAAGAGUGCGAAACUGCCAAAAUAAAGUUGCAAAUUUGGUUAGCUCAGAGAGGGUUAGCUCUUUCUGAAGAAAAAACCAGUAUCAAACACUUGAAGGAAGGAUUCGACUUCCUGGGAUUUAAUAUACGACAUUAUGACAAUCGCCACAGAAAACGGGGAUAUAUAUUGUUAACGAAGCCCUCAAAGGAGUCGAUGAAAAGGUACAAACAGCAAAUGAGAAUGACCUGGAAAGGUAUUAUCGGUAUGCCGACACAAGAAGGAAUAAGACAACUGAAUGCCAAGAUAAUAGGAUGGUGUAAUUACUAUCGUAUUG